Molecule: unclassified non-coding RNA, 8730 nt
Filed under: Acanthaster planci (crown-of-thorns starfish)
Lineage: Eukaryota; Metazoa; Echinodermata; Asteroidea; Valvatida; Acanthasteridae
Description: c-Maf-inducing protein-like, transcript variant X1
Source: RNAcentral
CGCACCGGAUACGCAGAUCGGCCAGAUAGCUUCGUGCAUGGCCGCGGUUCGUAAUUUUGCGAAUGUUGACAUCAUAGCAAACGGUUUUGUGGAAAGGAACAAUUGGGAAUUAACUUCGCUUCUAAGCAGCAUCUGUUCAACUCCAAUUUCUUUACAGGAUUUACCGGCUGCAUUAAUAUGCGGACAGUACACGGCAAAGUCGAGAGUUAACCGCACGUUUUUGGUGGAUCUUCGUACCAUGAUCGUUCCCGCUGGUUGCGAUCUCCAGCUCAGCCUGUAGCUCGCUACCGACAUUUUUUCGGCCAUUACACGCCUGCUGCUGUGGCUUCGUAGCUGUCAAUUCACCCAGCAACUAGCGUUCGUAAUCUUGGAAUGCCAAACUCGUUUUGGUUUCUCUUUCGGGCCUAAAGUGAUUUGUUAAAAGGUAGCCAACGUUAAGUCAGUGUGACGCCGUAAGACUUCACUGGUCGACUUUCGGUAGGUUAAAUCGACUUGGCUGCAUUGUUUUUUCUCCACGGCAAGGUUUUUUCAGCCACCAUCCACCACGGCAGGGUUUUGGACGGCAGGUAUGGCACAGACGAACGGAACGGUGAAUUGUGGUGAACUCAAGUACAAAAUGCUGCACGAAGGUGCGAUACAAGUGUGCCGAAUAAACCACGCGAGCAAUGUGGUGAACAAAAUAAUGAACAUGAAAUUUCUCCGAAGAUGGGAAAUGCAUCAGAUAGUGCUGGGAGAGAGUACUCUGUAUUCAUUAACACCCUCUGGUUUUAUGGAGUACCCGCUGCCGUACUGCAGCAUAACAGACAUCCAUCCGCUGACGCGUUGGGAGGCCGGACAGAGCGCUUGCUUGCGUAUCGUCUUGCACACGGGCUCAAUACUACUGCAGGCGACCAACCUCUACGUUCGUGACCAGUGGCUUCACUCCUUGCAAUGGAAACGCGCAAUCCACAGAUAUAAGAAACUGCUGUGCAAUACCACAAGGCCAGACGUCUUCAUGAAAGAAGUCAAGGCGAUGGUAGACAUGACACUGACAACCUGUGUUCAAGACCAGGCCGUUCAUCAAGUGCCACUGGAAAUUGUCUCGGACAUCCUUUCACAGAAUCGAGAUGUCCUCAACAGUGUGGCCCAAGAUAGCAUUAUCACAGCUGUGGCACCCCUGCUGGAGAACAACCAGCCCUCGCCGGAGAUCUGCGCUUUCUUCAGCAAGCACUGCCGCAACUCACCCCGUUCCAUCGUGGUCCUGGAGAUGUUUAUGCCUGUCAUUCACCGGAUUCUGAAACACAAUAUGGAUUUUGGCAAGAAUCCCAGACUCCAGGGCUUUGUGCGUGAUUUCAUACUGGCUCUCCAGAGCAAGAAUGACAAGGAACAGGCAUUGCAGUCAUUUGUCAACACCAUGCAUGGACCAACAAGCGAAUGUCCCCACCCCCGUGUCCUGCCCAACAUGGUCGCCAUUUGUCUGGCCUCUAUUGCUGUCUAUUUCCAGGAAUGCAAUGGAUGUAGAGUGCAGCCUGACAUCACCAUCGAGGACAGCGACGGUUCUGCUGAUGAUACCGUCCUCCAGGACGAAGACACCAUGAUGUGCUUUGUCACCAUCCUGACCAUGACGGCUGGGUUUGUGGACUGGCUGCCCCAGCUGUCAGGAAUGCUGCUGCCGAUCCCUUUCCCUAAGGCAGCCUUUGAAAACAAGCGGGUGACUGCUGCCCUGAGCACCAUCAUUAGCAAGUUUGCCACGGACGAUCGUUGUGAGGUGCACACAGCGGUGUGCGGCGUGAGGGACGGCAAAGCUGGCUGGCUGGACCUUUUCUGUCCUGGGGGAGCGGCCUGCAAUGAUGAUGGGCAGAUCUUCUCUCAAAUGCUUCAAAAGUUGAUCAGCUGUUGCUGCAGAAGGCGUCGUUUUCUCCUGUCCAUUACUCCGCGGCUCUUCGAACCCAUCCAGCUUUUAGCCCUCAGGAGGAACGCCACCUGCAUAGAGAUGCUGUGCCUGAUGCUGGAGUUGGACAUUCUGCCCGACGAGGAGACCUGCAUGCAGGUGACGCAGACCCUCAAGAGCACCUCGGAAGGCCUGGAGACGUACAAGAAGCUGUGCGAGAAGCAGACCGCCCUCAAACAGCUGCAAGAGAAAGGCGGUCCCCAUGCCUUGUCCCUGCCCUCCAAGUCUACUGACGCCGACGUGGCUCAGCUCUUCAGCUCGGGGCCGCUGGGUAAUCUGGAGUGCCUAAACCUGGCCUUCACCCACGUCACCAGCGGCUGUGCAGAGACCCUAAUCAAGCUGCCCAACCUCAAGACGUUAAACCUCUGGUCCACCCAGUUUGGCGACAGCGGGCUGGAGCUGAUCACGGAGCACAUGCACGGCCUGGAGAGCCUGAACCUGUGCGAGACCCAGGUGACAGACGAGGGGCUGCGCUGCCUGGUGGACCUGAAGAAGCUCAACCACCUCAACCUCAACAGCACCCCGCUGACCGCCCGCACCUGCAAGCUGCUGCUGGGCAACCUGCCAGACCUGAAGACAAUUGACACAAGGUACACAGACGCCUGAGGGGCAAUGUAAUCCAGGGGCCGGAAAGAUUGUUUUCGGAAGGACAUAUCAAAGGAUUCAUCAGUUACCGGCCUGAGUGUCUGUGGGGAAAUUCAUCUGUACAUUACAUUCAACUCAACUGGGCAGAGGUUGGCUGUGUGUUGACAUCAGUGGCUAGUUGAUGGCGCCAGUUGCAGCACAUCAGAAACACACCAGCUAAUCCAUCUGCAUAUGUCUAACAAAGGAAUUAAUAAUUGGCAUACAGUGCAAAAAUGCACAUCAAGAACAUGUUAUCUAUGUUACUUUAGCCCUGUGAAAUUGCAUUUGUCUUAUGCUUUUUUUUCCCCACGGUUCUGACAGAAGGGAUUUGUAGGGUAUAGGCUUUUUUUUUCACGAAUAAUUUAUAUGCUUAAAUGCUGACAAUAUUUUUUGAAUUCCUGCAGCUAGGAACUAAACUGCACAAAAGAGAUAAGAAUGUGGUUGACAUUUUGGAGUAGAAAUGUCCAAAGCACUGAGUUCAAAGGUCAGACUACCAUACUUUUACCUGAGAAUUGAAUUUGAUACAGCUGGUAGCAUUCUGCAGGACAGAUGCUUGGUCAAGCCCAGUUGUUUUGCACCCAGGGGCAGGAGUUACCUCCGUCUUUGUAAAUACACCUGCAGAAAGACUUGGCUGAGUCUAUUGUGGCUGCAGGGGGGGGGGGAGUUGUUAAAGAUUACAGAUGUAGCUGAGCCAGUAUACUUGUUCAACUCGAGACAGUUAAGGGUGAAUUUCUCAGCACUGGUUGGUAGAGAAGAUUUGCUAACCCCAGCGAGAAUAGUUUGCUGAGGUUAAAGUGAUUUCUCAGUGUAGGCUUGCUUGUGACUGCGCACACAUUGAGCCUAGAGAUGCCAAUUGCUGUAGCUCUACUUGAAGCAGACUGUUCCUCUGAAGUACCAGUGUGCUGGUAAAUGUUGGUCUCAAAAGAAGAUUGUUAGAUUAGUAGCUUCAUGAAAUCAGGCCCAGUCACUGGAACAGGGGUGUGAGAAUUCAGCUUUUUUUUUGUUUAGAUGUUGAGCCCGAAUUUCAGCUUUUUUGUACACCUGGCCUGUACAAAAGUAAUAAAAUUUUUUGUUACAUUUCAGCUUUUUGCUAGCAUUUUUCAGCUCUGAUUUUAACUAGCCACUCACACCCCUGCUAGAUGUAUCAUUUCAGGGUAAGUGGUCUGUUUUUGUUGCCGCUAACUGGCAGCUUCAGGUUCAAUCUACCAACAGGGGUCAGUAAAACAGGUGCAAACCUCAUGAAAUAUCCAGCUUAGCAAUGCAGACUCAUGCGGGCCUUGUUCAUAUGUACAAUAUGGCUAUUAUCUGAAUCAUUGGCAUCCUGCAGAUGUUUAAUACUCUGGAAGAUUGUACUCUUAAGAAUGAAAAGAAACAUAAUUUUUUUUUGGUUUUUGAUUUGUUGGUUUUUUGAUAAAGUUAGCUGUCUUAAUCUUACCGAGCAUUGAAAUAUUGAUUUUGGUUUCAGAAAGCAAUACUGGCACUCCAGCAGACAGAUAGUCUUUUAAUAUUUCACUGUUGAUUAGUGAAUGAAAUAAUUUUGUGCGGAGUCGUCUUUGUAAACUGCUUGUGACAGUGCAAAAAUAGGAACUCCGAAAUGACAACUGUAAAAGCAAAUUGCCAUGGCUUGUGCUUAAAGCGCUUCACCAUUUUGGAGUUUCUUGCUGUUGAUGUCAACAUCAACAAACUCUGGUCUUAUAGUAGACAGAAAAUUUGGUUAAACUUUAAGAAAUCCGGCUUGUGGAGCACAAGCUGUGGUUGUAAGAGCUGACAGGAGUAUAAAGUGGUUGUAAAUAGAGUGUCAGUCGAUUCCUUUGAUCAAAGAUAUCAGUGGAAUAGGGACAGCAACAAACACAGCUGGGUUGGCCAGAAGAUUCGUGAGAAAUUUGCGCAGGUUUGCGUCGGUCAGGAAGCCUGUGAAGCAGAUAUAUGUACACACAUGCCAGUCUUCAUGCCAGAUCCUUUGAAAUCCCAUCAAGUGGUUUUUCGCAGGAUUUGGGAAAGUACAACUGGUCCUUUGUUGCUUUGCAAGGGCCUUGGUAUUGCUUGAGAUUUUAAGCACAAAGAAAGUAAAAUAAUCGCUUCGUGUACUGUCUAGUGUUUUGGAGGAUCGGCUGCCUCAAUGGUGGUCAAUGAACUGUGAAGAUGUCAUGACAGCUUGAAAGUUUGACCUCUGACAUGGUUCCACGUUUAAUUCUGAGUCUGGCUUAUUAGACUAAAGGAAAAGAAGUGACAAAGUAUUAACUAUUCUCUUUUCAGAGCUGUAAGAUUGUUGAACAUCAAUAGCAGCAUUACCAUCUCCUUAAAAAUAGAGAAAUCCCUUCAAAUGUUCUUGUUUUUCCCCUUGAAGGGAGAAGGCUGGUUUGGGAAAGGGGAACAUUUUGUAAUUAAUCAUUUUUCCCAUUUGUUUGUUUGUUUGAUACAUUAUUAAAUAUUAAGUGGAUGAGUGUGUAACAAAUCUUUUGAUAUGCCAUCUGUGAUCUACUUUAUUGAGGACACUGUAGAUCAGCAAGGCUUUGUGAUCAGCUGUGCAUUUGUGCAUGGCGGUGAAAGGGUUAACCUUUCGUACGCGUAUUUAGAUAGGCCAUUUAACAAAACACAAGAUGUGUAUGUAAUCUAAUUAUCAGCUCACGAACUAGCCGUUGGCAGAGUGGAUACGAACAUGCGAUUAACUUUCUCAAAUGAGAAAGGCGAUCACAGGGUCCUGUCACAGUUUACGAGGGGAUCCACUUUGACAGAGGGAUAGCAACAUUGAGACGAGACUUUUGAGAGCGCGCUCAGCGCAGGAAAAUUGAAUGGUGUGUUUUUACACGGCAUGGCAAUGACAGUCCUAUGGUGGGAACUCAUUGCCUGGGUGCACAAGUUCAUGUACAGGACACACUGAGCAUGAUCGACCAAUUUUUAUUGAAUGGUCCAGUCUUUGCUUGUGUGCUGGGCACGUGCAUGCACCCAGUUUGAGCUGUUGAAGGAUACCUCUCAUCAGAACAGAUAGCCUGUGACUUGAUUGAAUACUUCGUGAUUGACUUGGGAUCGCUCACAACUCUCGUCAUUGAGUAGACCUAAAAUAUAACAUCCCACUUUUCUCCGUGGUGACUGGAUGGACCACGCCCCACCUCAUUGCCAUAAGAGUGGGCAUGUGUAUAAAGCGUCUUGUCAUUCUGUUCUACAUCUAUUUUGAUGGGUUGGGAUUGUAGGCAAUGAGGGUGGGGACAGGGAACAUGUGUGUACUUUCUGAAGCUUUGCAUAUGAUCUGCAGUAGCUACAUGUAAUGCUCGGUGUACAAAAAAGUGAGCAAACAUGCAGUCUGUAUGUUAAAUGAUUGACUAGGGAUAAACAAAUUAUCUACAUUUUGUAAGAGCAGUUUUCAAUGUUAUUUGAUAUCUUGAUCUCAUGAUGAAAGACCAUUAAUUCUGAACUAAAUUUAAUAUGUACACAUAGUAUUACAUUGAUAGGGGAGUAACUUUCCAACAUCAUAUGUAGUAAUCAUGGAAUAAUGAAAUGUUUAAAUGGUGAUUGUGACUUCUGUGUUGGCUUCACACAUUGGAAACCAAUUUUUUGCAGUUGCUAUAGAGUAGAUUUAUGCGUUACUUGUAAUAUUAAAUGAUGUGAAAUUAAGAGGUAAGAAGAUGAAAAAAACUCUAAAUGUUUUGAUGAAAGGUUAAGGGCAUAAAUCUUGUCGGUCAUGAAACAGACAGUGCGGGGUAACCAAAAAAAAAUCAAAAAUAAAAAAAAUCAGAACAAAAACAAAAAUGAACAGAAAAAAAGUAUAUUAAAAAGGUAAUGACACAGGUGCCUUGAUAUAAACAUGCACCUUACUGUUAAAGAAAAAAUCAAUUUAAAAAUUGAAAUGUGUAAUAUUAAUAUUGUGAAGUGUUUUAUGGUAUUUCAGUAUUAUGUCUGCUUGGAAUUGGUAUUGCAUACACUAUAUUUUUCCUUUUUUAGGGUGUGAGGAAAUCGUUUCUGUAGCUGCAUAGGUUUAAUUUGGGCAGCAUUUGUAAUUUGAAACAUCACCAAGGUCUGUGUAGGACCGAGUAUCUAUAUAAAAUAUAUCACCGGUGUUGUAUUUCAUGCACAAGUGGUUUUGAUUAGAAAAAUUUUGAUUAAAUCUUCAACUUGCAAACGCGAACAAAUUUUGAGACAUUUUAAAACAAAAUCUGGUGUAAUCAUAUUGAGAACUUGAGAUGUGGAUGCCAUUUUUCGGAGACGUAUCAAGACAUUGUUGGAAUGGUAGAUGUUAAUUAUUACGUGUGUGUGUCAAAACAAAAAUAAGUAUGGAGAAUACUUUUUGAAGAAAAAAUGACUCAAAAUGAAUUGGUGCUAAAUUGUGACGUUCUUGAUGGGCAGUUGUUUAAAAAAAAAUGUGCAUUGCAUUGAAAUGUCUGUACCAUUGCUGGUUGCUGCUACGUGGAUGUUGCUAAACCUCCUGAAGGAUAAUCCGCGGGGUGGGGGUUGUGGAAAUCUGUAUUUUAAUAAAGGGCCCAUGCGAUGACUUUUUUCUUAAGACACUUUCUGUGACUCCUUACACUCUUCUUCAGUAUAUAGAAACUAUCUGACAUCCUUUUAGGGUUAUAGAUGUAUGAAAAGUGCACUUUUUAAGCAUUUGAAAAAUGAUGCAAGGCUCUCUGGACAACUGAGGGCGCUGUUACCAUGAUGUUAUUUUAGUGUGACACGAAGUUUUAUUUUAUUUGUUUCUCUAUUUCAGUUGUGAAUCCAAAACUGUUAACUCCUUCGAAAGAAUUGCUCGUUGACAUAUUGUUGUGUACUUACACGACAACAAAUCACCCAAGAAAAGUAAAUUUGGGACAGCAAAAUGUAAAAAUUCUGGCAUUUGUCAUACACAAAUAAGUACUACAUUGGGGAUUUAUAUCCAUGGAGUGACACUGUACAAAGUCUUGUAAAGAUUGGAAUUUCCUCAUUUUUCAUUAAAGUCCAAGUUCCAUGCCUGUUAAAAGAAAAACAGCGAACCAGAAAGAGAAAAUGGGGUUAAUUGAAACAACGGUAAAAUAAUUGCACUUCCGGAACCCUUUAAACAGGUUUCCGUGAUGUAGAGUUAAAAAAAAAAUUGUGAUCUUAAAAUUAUAACAUGAAUUUAGUUUCAACUCAAGGCUAGUGGUUCUGAGGAUUAUUAUCGGCCAAGGGCUUAUCUUUACUCGGAACAAUCAACGGGAGAGGUUUUUACUCUUGUGACUUUUUUUUAGUACCUAGUUUCCCAAACAAGGUGACCUAGUGAAAUAGAAAAAUAAUUGUAAUUUUAAAUUUUGAUUCUACAUUAAUAUAUACACAAUACUUGAAUAUUUUUGGAACAGUUAAAAGUAAAUGCUAUAUGUUUAUAGAAAAUAUCAUCUGUACCUUUAAGAUAAAACAACUCAAAAAACACAAAAGGAUAAAAAAAAUCUGCUCUUUGUAGUAAUGAUUUUGUUUACAGUUUUCCAUGUUAUUUCUGUGCACAUAAUUUAUGAAGAGUAAUCAAACUUGGGGUAAAGGAAAAUAUCAGACAUUACAUCACCAUUUUGUCCUAUUUUCCUUUGAUUUAGGGCCAUUGGAACUAGCUUUCCUGUAAAGUAACCUGCUUUUUACUCAUUUGAUCUCCGGAUCCAACAAGCACGAGUGUUUGUCUAGGUUUGCUCUCCGGAAGUGUGGUUGCACUUGCAAAUCCAAAGCUUGCCCAUGCAACCUUUCUUUCCUGUAACCUUGUGGGGACAUGCUGCCAAUGGCUGAACCCAUGUUGUCGCAAGAUAACAGGUGAAAAUAGCAAAAACUAGCUGAACCCAUGUUGUUGCAAGAUAACAGGUGAAAAUAGCAAAAACUAGCCAAGUUUUUACUGUUCUCUUUGUGUACAUUUACCAGUUUAAAUGGCCUGAACAAGUAUUUCCAGAAAAACAAAGAAAACAAAUCUAGUCAGUUGGCAUGCUGGCUUUGAAGAUUACUUGUAGCUAGCGUAACUUAUUUGGGCAAAAAUUGUAAGUACUGAAAUAGAGACUUUGCUUAAGUUAAGGAAGUCAGCUUUUUUUUUCCUUCUUUUUCGCCUCUUUUCUUUUUGUAAUGAACUCACAAAUGAAUGUUGUAACUUCAGCUGCAAAGAAAAGAAUUGAUCUUGUUACUGAAUAACAUACCAACAAGUAGCAGAGAACUCAACAUAAAAAUUUCAUAAAAGAUCCCAUAAUAAUGAGGUGAACCAA